This 560-nucleotide ribosomal RNA is filed under the name Asyncoryne ryniensis. Its description in RNAcentral is "partial large subunit ribosomal RNA". It matches the Rfam family "Bacterial large subunit ribosomal RNA", at positions 1879 to 2608 of the family's 2925-position model. The record is from RNAcentral. Lineage: Eukaryota; Metazoa; Cnidaria; Hydrozoa; Anthoathecata; Asyncorinidae.
GAUUAAAAAUAUAAAAUGUUUUAAAGUAGAUUAAAAGGACGCGGUAUCUUGACCGUGAUAAUGUAGCAUAAUCAUUCGCCAUUUAAUUGAUGGAUAGUAUGAAUGGUAUAACGAAUAUAACACUGUCUUAAAUAAAAACCUUAUGAAAUUAGAAUAAUAGUAAAGAUACUAUUUAAAACUGUAAGACGAGAAGACCCUAUAGAGCUUAACUACAUCUCUUUUGAAAACAUAAGUUUACUUAUUAUAAAAAAGAGAUUGGUAGUUUAGUUGGGGCGACUACUUUCUAAAUAUAACGAAAGCAAGCAAUAUUAAUUUAAAAAUUUACUGUAUAACUUAUGGGUUUAACAGUUAUAAAAAUAGGCAAUAAUGACCCGUUAUUAAUUAGUAGAAAUUAUAACGAUUAGUAAAUAAAAGCUACCUUAGGGAUAACAGGAUAAUCUUGUUUUAGAGAUCAUAUCGAAUACAAGGUUUGUCACCUCUAUGUUGAAUUAAGACAUCCAGGAAAUGCAGAAGUUUCCAAUGGUAGGUCUGUUCGACCUAUAAAGUCUUACAUGAUUUGA